RNAcentral lists this ribosomal RNA (312 nucleotides) under uncultured bacterium. Its description in RNAcentral is "bacterial SSU rRNA". It matches the Rfam family "Bacterial small subunit ribosomal RNA", at positions 28 to 334 of the family's 1533-position model. The record is from RNAcentral.
GAUGAACGCUAGCGGCAGGCUUAACACAUGCAAGUCGAGGGGUAACAGGGAUAGCUUGCUAUUUGCUGACGACCGGCGCACGGGUGCGUAACGCGUAUACAAUCUACCUUGUACUGGGGAAUAGCCUUUGGAAACGAAGAUUAAUGCCCCAUAGUAUCAUAUACUGGCAUCAGUUUUAUGAUUAAAGUUUCGGCGGUACAAGAUGAGUAUGCGUUCUAUUAGUUAGUUGGUAAGGUAACGGCUUACCAAGACUUCGAUAGAUAGGGGUCCUGAGAGGGAGAUCCCCCACACUGGUACUGAGACACGGACCAG